CCUACGGGUGGCAGCAGUGAGGAAUAUUGGUCAAUGGCCGAGAGUCUGAACCAGCCAAGUAGCGUGAAGGAAGACGGCCCUAUGGGUUGUACACCUCUUUUGUAUGGGAGGAAAGUGCUUCACGUGUGAGUCAUUGUGUGUACCAUAAGAAUAAGGAUUGGCUAACUCCGUGACAGCAGCCGCGGUAAUACGGAGGGUCCGAUCGUUAUCCGGAUUUCUUGGGUUUAAAGGGUGCGUAGGUGGGUGGGUAAGUUAGACGUGAAAGUUUGCGGCGCAACCGUAGAAUUGCGGUUGAAACUGCAAGCCUUGAGUGCAGUAGAGGUGAGCGGAAUGCGUGGUGUAGCGGUGAAAUGCGUAGAUAUCACGAAGAACUCCGAUUGCGAAGGCAGCUUACUGGACUGCAACUGACGCUGAGGCUCGAAAGUGUGGGUAUCGAACAGGAUUAGAUACCCGGGUAGUC
Molecule: ribosomal RNA, 460 nt
Filed under: uncultured bacterium
Lineage: Bacteria
Description: partial 16S ribosomal RNA
Rfam family: Bacterial small subunit ribosomal RNA
Source: RNAcentral